This 109-nucleotide small RNA is filed under the name Ancylostoma duodenale. Its description in RNAcentral is "SL2 RNA". It matches the Rfam family "SL2 RNA". Rfam says of the family: This family represents SL2 RNA. SL2 RNA is involved in trans splicing in lower eukaryotes. Lineage: Eukaryota; Metazoa; Nematoda; Chromadorea; Rhabditida; Ancylostomatidae. The record is from Rfam by way of RNAcentral.
GGUUUUAACCCAAUAUCUCAAGGUACUAAUGGCGUCCGACCUACCACCAGUGGUUGCGUCGAAAACCCGAAUUUUUGGAUUGCCUUCGCGGGGUAUCCGGGAGGGCAGU